Molecule: ribosomal RNA, 540 nt
Filed under: Pseudomonas aeruginosa
Lineage: Bacteria; Pseudomonadati; Pseudomonadota; Gammaproteobacteria; Pseudomonadales; Pseudomonadaceae
Description: partial 23S ribosomal RNA
Rfam family: Bacterial large subunit ribosomal RNA
Source: RNAcentral
CAAACUACGAAUACCGAAGAAUGUUAUCACGGGAGACACACGGCGGGUGCUAACGUCCGUCGUGAAGAGGGAAACAACCCAGACCGCCAGCUAAGGUCCCAAAGUCAUGGUUAAGUGGGAAACGAUGUGGGAAGGCACAGACAGCCAGGAUGUUGGCUUAGAAGCAGCCAUCAUUUAAAGAAAGCGUAAUAGCUCACUGGUCGAGUCGGCCUGCGCGGAAGAUGUAACGGGGCUAAACCAUGCACCGAAGCUGCGGCAGCGACACUAUGUGUUGUUGGGUAGGGGAGCGUUCUGUAAGCCUGCGAAGGUGUGCUGUGAGGCAUGCUGGAGGUAUCAGAAGUGCGAAUGCUGACAUAAGUAACGAUAAAGCGGGUGAAAAGCCCGCUCGCCGGAAGACCAAGGGUUCCUGUCCAACGUUAAUCGGGGCAGGGUGAGUCGACCCCUAAGGCGAGGCCGAAAGGCGUAGUCGAUGGGAAACAGGUUAAUAUUCCUGUACUUGGUGUUACUGCGAAGGGGGGACGGAGAAGGCUAUGUUAGCCG